GGACAGCCAUCGCCGAGUCCCCGGACGGCGUGAGCCAGGGGAGCCGGGGACCCACCGCAGUCCCUGGGGUGAAUCGGGGCCCUUGCCGCGUCGAGGGACCCGUAGGAGACCUUCCUGCUCCGAACCCGUCAGCUAACCCGGUAGGCGAGAAGGAAGGAAAG
RNAcentral lists this small RNA (161 nucleotides) under Streptomyces sp. RNAcentral describes it as "c-di-AMP sequence". It matches the Rfam family "c-di-AMP riboswitch aptamer (ydaO/yuaA leader)". From Rfam's summary of the family: This family represents a conserved RNA structure found upstream of the ydaO and yuaA genes in Bacillus subtilis and related genes in other bacteria. The record is from RNAcentral. RNAcentral also lists the same sequence under 1 other name. Lineage: Bacteria; Bacillati; Actinomycetota; Actinomycetes; Kitasatosporales; Streptomycetaceae.